GAUGAAGAACGCAGCGAAAUGCGAUACUUGGUGUGAAUUGCAGAAUCCCGUGAACCAUCGAGUCUUUGAACGCAAGUUGCGCCCGAAGCCAUUAGGCCGAGGGCACGCCUGCCUGGGCGUCACACGUCGUUGCCCCCCCAUCUACUCCUUCGGGAUUGCGGGGGGCGGAUGAUGGCCUCCCGUGCGCCUCGUCGCGCGGUUGGCAUAAAUGCCAAGUCCUCGGCGACACACGCCACGACAAUCGGUGGUUGCGAAACCUCGGUUGCCCGUCGUGUGCGGUCGUCGCGCAUCGAGGGCUCGAAAAAAUUGCCGGGCUCCGGCUCGGCUUUCAACGCGACCCCGGGUCAGGCGGGGUUACCCGCUGAAUUUAAGCAUAUCAAUAAGCGGAGGA
RNAcentral lists this unclassified non-coding RNA (391 nucleotides) under soil metagenome. Its description in RNAcentral is "partial contains 5.8S ribosomal RNA, internal transcribed spacer 2, and large subunit ribosomal RNA". The stretch from base 1 to 122 matches the Rfam family "5.8S ribosomal RNA", at positions 35 to 154 of the family's 154-position model. The record is from RNAcentral.